This 743-nucleotide non-coding RNA is filed under the name Pan troglodytes (chimpanzee). Lineage: Eukaryota; Metazoa; Chordata; Mammalia; Primates; Hominidae. The record is from RNAcentral.
UAAUAGUACUCACCUCAGAAGGCUGUUGUGAGAAUUAAAUAAUUCCUGUAAAGCAGGUAGCAGAGUGCUUGGCACAUAGCAUCCAGGAAAAACUGAGCGAAUUCUUGUGAAACUGAAGUACACUGAAGGUGUUUGCUAUUUAAAGGUAUCUUCUGGUGGAUCGUCUUGGAAAACAUGGACCCAAAUCUUGCGAGAGCUAUCAGUGAGUCUCCUCUCCUGCUCUGCACCUCUCAGGACUGUGUCCCAGCUCCAGAAGAAUGAGCCUGCACAGCUUGGACUGUCACCUCUGGCAGGUUCCUGCUCUUUGAUGAAGCCUCGUCAUAAUCACAGCUAUGCCAAAAUAUGUGCUUUGCCUCCUGGCUGAGUGACAGUGGCCAUCCGAAGGCAGUGACUUUCCAGGGCACAAGGACCUCUAAAGGCAAGUGUUUGAGCUCAGCCCUUCUCGGUGGCCCACAGGAAUCGCUUCCCAUUGGAACACUGCCACCAAGGCUCUGGAGCUGAGUUUGUGACAUGGAGACAUUCACAGCAUUUUUCCUGUCCCUCAAGGGUCAGGCAGAUCUGGUGCUUUCCCCCUCCUGGAAAUAGAUAGAGCUGGCUGAAAGCUUCUUGGGAUGAAAUUUAUCUUUUGUGCCUCAGGUGAAAUCUGACCGAUUUUGAAUGGUGUGCGCAUUUCUGGGCUUCCCACCCUCCAGAUCCCCUGGGGCCAGAUUCCUAGCACCCCAGGAAGCUGUUGGGGGAUCUGG